Molecule: transfer RNA, 93 nt
Filed under: Cyrtodactylus yakhuna
Lineage: Eukaryota; Metazoa; Chordata; Lepidosauria; Squamata; Gekkonidae
Description: tRNA-Cys
Source: RNAcentral
CCCCACGGAGUGACCCACACCAAAAUGCAAAUUUGGCAACGUACCCCAACAGGUGCCGGGGGCUUCUCCCGUUUUAAGAGAGACGGGAGAAGC